Molecule: ribosomal RNA, 440 nt
Filed under: uncultured bacterium
Lineage: Bacteria
Description: partial 16S ribosomal RNA
Rfam family: Bacterial small subunit ribosomal RNA
Source: RNAcentral
CCUACGGGUGGCAGCAGUGGGGAAUAUUGCACAAUGGGGGAAACCCUGAUGCAGCGACGCCGCGUGAGUGAAGAAGUAUUUCGGUAUGUAAAGCUCUAUCAGCAGGGAAGAAAAUGACGGUACCUGAUUAAGAAGCCCCGGCUAACUACGUGCCAGCAGCCGCGGUUAUACGUAGGGGGCAAGCGUUAUCCGGAUUUACUGGGUGUAAAGGGAGCGUAGACGGCAGCACAAGUCUGGAGGGAAAUGCCGGGGGUUAACCCCGGAACUGCUUUGGAAACUGUGCAGCUAGAGUGCAGGAGAGGUAAGUGGAAUUCGUAGUGUAGCGGUGAAAUGCGUAGAUAUUAGGAGGAACACCAGUGGCGAAGGCGGCUUACUGGACUGUAACUGACGUUGAGGCUCGAAAGCGUGGGGAGCAAACAGGAUUAGAUACCCCAGUAGUC